GGUGAGCAGCCCUGGCCUCCGCUGAUCAGAAUAGGAAAGGCUUUGGCAGGGUCUUGUGCAAUGGCUCUCGUGUUUCUGCGUGGGUGGGAUGAUGGCACUGGCCAUGGACGUACUGUGGGCAUGGCAAAGCCCCCAGAAGAAAUCUGGGAGCAGAGGGAGGCACUGGGGCAGUGGUGUUGGCACAAAGCAUCCCUCAGCUUGUGGCAUUGGCAGAGCUGGGCUGUUGUACACAUCUGGGCCGGGGUUCACAUCUGGGCUGUUGUUCCCCUGGGCUGUUGUUGCAGGCAGUCACCAGCCUCUGCCCCCUCCCCACUCAUCUGGCAGCAACCAGAGCCAGGAUGUGGGGAGGCUGUGGGAAGCCUAAGUACUGAGCCUGGCUUAGUGCAAAACUCCUGGGACCAGUGACACGAGAUGGCCGUCACAGAGGAGCACCUAUCCUGCAGGCAGCCCUCUGAUGAGGUAUUUUGGGGUUUCUAAAAAUACAUCCCUGGAGGUGUCUGGGCCAAGCAGUGGGGUGGAUGCUGAGGGAAGCCCAGGUGCAGGAGCCCAGGCAGUGCAGGGGGAUGGACUCUGCACGGUCACAGCCCCCGAGGCAGCACCGUGACCUGCCCUGCACGACCUUCCCGGGGAAGAUUAUGAAAGUGCAUUACGUGUGGAGGCAAAACGGAUGGAGGAGCAGGCAGGAGUGCUGGGUCAGCAAGUCGUGCAGGCUGGAUGAGCGGUGAGUGCUCAGAGGGAGAAGGAAGACACCGUGCUGAAAACAGUAAAGGGAGACGCAGGCUAGUGGCAAAGGAGAUGGGAACAAGGAGAACCAGACUCGCCCAGAGCAGCUGGCACUGGCAAGAGAAAAACCUGGGAACUCCAGCUGUGCGGAAGAGAGGAGGGAAAACCGAGGUGGUUUCCUGUCUCCCUUCUCAGCCUGCUCUCUCCUCUGAGCAUCUCGGAAACAUCCUCCACUCCUGUCUGGAGACCUGGAACCAGACUGCUGAAGGCACCUGGAGAGGAAAGGAUCCUGCCUCCCAUCUCACUUCCCUGGGCUUGCUUCAUGUCCCAAACUACUCCAGGGGUUGGGAGAGGAAGUGACUGGGUUUUGCCUACUCACCUAUCCCAGAAAAUCGUAGAGUUACAAGAAAACAAGCUCCCGAUGAACAGGGGCAGGGCAGGGCAAUAUUCUAGGCACAGAGAGGUCCUUUUGCUGCCGAGGGCAGGGCGCCCAUCAUUCCAGUGGCAUUAGUGCUUUCCACCUCCACGCAGGAGGUACAGGAUAUCAUGGUAUUAUUUUUAACCGGGGAUAUUUAGUGAACUUCUCACGUGCUGCUGGAGGGUCAGAUUUAUCCCAUAGCCUCAGUCCCAGGGGACACUCCCAGUUAUUUUUGAACCCAUCAGAGCACCAGAGAAGCAGGGGAUGCAAAAGCUCGGGAGACACAAAGUCUGGGAUUUGUCUGGCCUGUCCCUCUGGUCUGUGCCGCAGAGGCGAGCGUGGAGCAGAGCCCCUCAUGCCUGCCUUGUCAUCACCACCGUCACCCAGACCCCCACAAUAAAAUCCAAAACUUUGGCGAAGCCCCA
Molecule: long non-coding RNA, 1566 nt
Organism: Serinus canaria (Common canary)
Lineage: Eukaryota; Metazoa; Chordata; Aves; Passeriformes; Fringillidae
Source: Ensembl